This 253-nucleotide ribosomal RNA is filed under the name uncultured bacterium. RNAcentral describes it as "partial 16S ribosomal RNA". It matches the Rfam family "Bacterial small subunit ribosomal RNA", at positions 524 to 776 of the family's 1533-position model. The record is from RNAcentral.
UACAGAGGGUGCGAGCGUUGUCCGGAAUCACUGGGCGUAAAGGGCGCGUAGGCGGCCUGAUAAGUAGGGGGUGAAAUCCUGUGGCUUAACUGCAGGGCUGCCUCCUAGACUGUUAGGCUCGAGCACGGUAGAGGCAGAUGGAAUUCCCGGUGUAGCGGUGGAAUGCGUAGAGAUCGGGAAGAACAUCGGUGGCGAAGGCGUUCUGCUGGGCCGUUGCUGACACUGAGGCGCGACAGCGUGGGGAGCAAACAGG